UUUUUUCAUUAAUUUUGUAUUGUCAUUGGGGAGAAUAAACCCACCAACUCCAAAUUAUUGAAAUCAAUAUCAGGUAACAUAUGAAAUGUUGCAUGUUUUUGUAAAUGAGGGAAUCCGUGAAGAUUCCACAAAUUUGAUUGUUUGUCCGUGGGACGCAAAAGUCGGAUUUAACCUAUGACAGUCUCAUCCUUCUCUUGUUUUUUUAAUAAUAAGCCUUAGCAUAAACACAUUUUACUGCGCAUAUGACAAAGCCUACUAAGAAAAAGAGGUGUGGUAAUGAUCCUUCCGCAGGUUCACCUACGGAAA
RNAcentral lists this unclassified non-coding RNA (306 nucleotides) under uncultured fungus. RNAcentral describes it as "sequence contains ITS1". Lineage: Eukaryota; Fungi. The record is from RNAcentral.